RNAcentral lists this ribosomal RNA (250 nucleotides) under Escherichia coli. Its description in RNAcentral is "partial 16S ribosomal RNA". It matches the Rfam family "Bacterial small subunit ribosomal RNA", at positions 1 to 245 of the family's 1533-position model. Lineage: Bacteria; Pseudomonadati; Pseudomonadota; Gammaproteobacteria; Enterobacterales; Enterobacteriaceae. The record is from RNAcentral.
UUAAAUUGAAGAGUUUGAUCAUGGCUCAGAUUGAACGCUGGCGGCAGGCCUAACACAUGCAAGUCGAACGGUAACAGAAAGCAGCUUGCUGCUUUGCUGACGAGUGGCGGACGGGUGAGUAAUGUCUGGGAAACUGCCUGAUGGAGGGGGAUAACUACUGGAAACGGUAGCUAAUACCGCAUAACGUCGCAAGACCAAAGAGGGGGACCUUCGGGCCUCUUGCCAUCGGAUGUGCCCAGAUGGGAUUAGC